UGAGCUAUCAUUGUCUUUGUCACGGUUGAUCCGGCUAGCCAAAUCUUCUUCUGUCUCCCAAGUAGGUGUAAUUUAGAGUCAUCAUUAACUAAUGAUAUGUACAGCAAAAUAUCAUCUGCAAAUAACGAUAUUGAGUUGUUAUUGGAUUUAAUCUGGACAUUACAUGUUUUAUUUUGCCUUAUGGCCUGGGCUAACGGUUCAAGAGAGAUCGCAAAUAGCAUGGGAGAUAGCGGGCAUCCCUGUCUCGAGCCCCGCGCGAUGGGGAAUAGCUGUGAAUGCAGGCCAUUGGUUGAGACUAUGGCCGUGAGAUUCGCAUAUAAAGUAUGUACCAUGUCAAUGAAUUUGGCUCCCAAACCAAGCCUCUUCAUUA
Molecule: long non-coding RNA, 370 nt
Organism: Sander lucioperca (pikeperch)
Lineage: Eukaryota; Metazoa; Chordata; Actinopteri; Perciformes; Percidae
Exons: 3
Source: RefSeq, a predicted model, not a curated record